UACGUAGGUGGCAAGCGUUGUCCGGAAUUAUUGGGCGUAAAGCGCGCGCAGGCGGUUAUGUAAGUCUGAUGUUAAAGACAGGGGCUCAACCUCGGUUCGCAUUGGAAACUGUGUAACUUGAGUGCAGAAGAGGAAAGUGGUAUUCCACGUGUAGCGGUGAAAUGCGUAGAUAUGUGGAGGAACACCAGUGGCGAAGGCGACUUUCUGGUCUGUAACUGACGCUGAGGUGCGAAAGCGUGGGGAGCAAACAGG
This 252-nucleotide ribosomal RNA is filed under the name uncultured bacterium. RNAcentral's name for it is "partial 16S ribosomal RNA". It matches the Rfam family "Bacterial small subunit ribosomal RNA", at positions 524 to 776 of the family's 1533-position model. The record is from RNAcentral.